UACGAAGGGGGGCUAGCGUUGUUCGGAUUUACUGGGCGUAAAGCGCACGUAGGCGGUUUGUUAAGUCAGGGGUGAAAUCCCGGAGCUCAACUCCGGAACUGCCUUUGAUACUGGCAAGCUAGAGUCCGGAAGAGGUAAGUGGAACUCCUAGUGUAGAGGUGGAAUUCGUAGAUAUUAGGAAGAACACCAGUGGCGAAGGCGGCUUACUGGUCCGGAACUGACGCUGAGGUGCGAAAGCGUGGGGAGCAAACAGG
RNAcentral lists this ribosomal RNA (254 nucleotides) under uncultured bacterium. RNAcentral describes it as "partial 16S ribosomal RNA". It matches the Rfam family "Bacterial small subunit ribosomal RNA", at positions 524 to 776 of the family's 1533-position model. The record is from RNAcentral.